GCUAAAUGUUUAGCUACUGCGAUGGAAGUAUUUGGAUUUGAUAACUCUUCAUAAGUUAGACCAUCACCCUAUAAUACCAUCAAUUAUUAUUUUAUACUGUUCAUUAGAAGUAGAACCCGUUUAAGAAGUGAGAAGUCCAAUUUCUAUUUACACCUUAAGACACGUGUUAAAAUUUCCCGUCUAACAAGUUUUCCCGGUGAUCUUCGUUUUCAACAAGAAGAAACUGAGAAGAAACUCCUGCAUUCGUUAAUGCCUAAUUUGAUGAAAAUAUAAAUAGAUAAUAAAUAUUUCAAUGAAAUGACGUGG
Molecule: long non-coding RNA, 306 nt
Organism: Centruroides sculpturatus (bark scorpion)
Lineage: Eukaryota; Metazoa; Arthropoda; Arachnida; Scorpiones; Buthidae
Exons: 3
Source: RefSeq, a predicted model, not a curated record